UUCCCGGUAGCUCAGUGGUAGAGCAACCGGCUGUUAACCGGUUGGUCGCUGGUUCGAAUCCGGCCCGGGGAGCCA
RNAcentral lists this transfer RNA (75 nucleotides) under Mesorhizobium sp. RNAcentral's name for it is "tRNA-Asn". It matches the Rfam family "tRNA". Rfam says of the family: Transfer RNA (tRNA) molecules are approximately 80 nucleotides in length. Their secondary structure includes four short double-helical elements and three loops (D, anti-codon, and T loops). The record is from RNAcentral. Lineage: Bacteria; Pseudomonadati; Pseudomonadota; Alphaproteobacteria; Hyphomicrobiales; Phyllobacteriaceae.